This 250-nucleotide ribosomal RNA is filed under the name uncultured bacterium. RNAcentral's name for it is "partial 16S ribosomal RNA". It matches the Rfam family "Bacterial small subunit ribosomal RNA", at positions 524 to 776 of the family's 1533-position model. The record is from RNAcentral.
UACAGAGGUCUCAACCGUUGUUCGGAUUCAUUGGGCGUAAAGGGUGCGUAGGCGGUCGUGCAAGUCGGAUGUGAAAUCUCAGGCUCAACCCUGAAACUGCAUUCGAUACUGCGUGGCUAGAGUGCUGGAGAGGAGACUGGAAUUACGGUGUAGCAGUGAAAUGCGUAGAUAUCGUAAGGAAGACCAGUGGCGAAGGCGAGUCUCUGGACAGCAACUGACGCUGAGGCACGAAGGCCAGGGAGCAAACGGG